AAGUGUCGCAGUAUCUUUCCUCUGCCAAAAAGGGCAUUGAGAUGGUGAGCCUUCAUGCUUUUCUAUUCUUAGCUGGAGAAACCUUCUCUCUUCCAAAGUCUGGUACCGCCCCUGCAUCUAGAUUUAUAAGAGACGCAGAUCCUCGGCACUGGUUUGGCACAAGACUUCCCGAGCAGGACAAGUAACCCACAAAAUGUAGCCAGUAUCCAGGGCUGCUCACAGCUUUGCUUCUUGUUAAGGAAGAUGAUGGUCUUAAAAUGGUUUUACCACAAGAAACUUCCCCUACAUGGAAUAUACCUGUUGCUUUCCCCUGAGGCCUCACACUGCCACUCUGAGGAGUAUAAUGAUAGAUCCAGAGGGUUUACCACAGAUCAUGGGGAGACAAUACAGGCCAACGCUGGCAUGUGAAGACUCCAAGAAACGAAUCACAAGACCCUGAACUCUCCCCGACACACCCUCUGUGGAUCUGCCAAGUCCAGGGACAGAGCUGGCUGGACUUUUCUCACAGUAAUGUACAGUAUGAGUAAACUUUUAUGACCAAAACCUUUAUCCAACACUGAGCUAUUAAACUGAGUAUUGCUAUUGUUGUCACUGGCCCCUUACAGCAGAAAUUGUCCAUUUAAUGGUUUAAAAAUGAUUGUCAUCAGCUGGAGUAAUUAAAACCCCUUAUUGUAACCAUAUAAUUCAUUUUGGUGCUUGAUAUUAAAAUAUUAAUAAAAGUGAAAAUGCAUUGCUCAAUGUCUCCCCUUGUUUCUGUCGGCUGAGGCCGGGGAUUGUGCUAUGUGGGUGACUCUAAAGGACUUUGAAGAAGUGCAGACACUGCUGCUUGAUGAAGCUGAUGCCAAAAAUGAAAGAUUUGCUCCUUUAUUUCUGUAGGAGUGUUACAGAAUAGGUGAUAGAGAGGUCGUGUAAUGUUGCUGGAUGGGGUGUUGAACACCUCUGGGAAGCAUAUUGAAGUUUUCAACCAGCCUACCUCCCAGUGCUAAAGCUUUAGCACGACCUCCUGGUGGGCUGUGACCUCUAAGAGUAGAUGUAAGCGAGAAAAUCAUUUCCCCAUCAGAGCUUACAGAAAUAUCACGCUGUUAAUUUCACAAGAGCCUUAGAGGGAGACACUGUGUCUUGUUAAGUACUCACUGGUUGAAGCUGCCGCUUCUUCUCUCCAAGACUACAUAAAGCAUUUCUUGUUAUAAGCAGUAGAAGAAGAUGGUGUGCAGGUUUCUCUGAAUGAGGAUCAGAAUGACUCUGAAUAAACCCGAGAAUGUCUGAAGGACUUCUCUGUGUUAAUUAUUAUUUUCUACAUUAAUCACCAAAAUUAUACACACUAUGAAAAAUGAGCAACGUGUGUGGGACAAAUCAUUCAGCUUAGUUACACAAAUAGACGAUUAAAAGUAAAAGACCUUUAAUGAGUAUGACUGAGUUUAUCAUAUUAUAUAUGUUUGUUCACCAUGUUCUCAAAUGCAUGAAUGCUCCAAGUACAUUUAAUAUAUUGCUUUAUCAGAAGUUUUGAGAAAAAAAGGAGGCAGGUCUAAUAAAUAACUUUUCCCUGAAACAUUUCAAUUCCUGUCUUUCAAAGGGGAAUCAGCCACUCCUACUAUUGUGGAGCACUAAAUCUUAUCUAUAUGAUAAGAAGGCUCAUUCAAGUGCAGCCAGAUGUUAGGUUUGUGCCUCAAAAGAGGAAC
Haplochromis burtoni (Burton's mouthbrooder) is the source of this 1679-nucleotide long non-coding RNA. RefSeq lists it as uncharacterized. NCBI's taxonomy places the organism in Eukaryota, Metazoa, Chordata, Actinopteri, Cichliformes, Cichlidae. The record is from RefSeq and is a predicted model, not a curated record. The transcript has 3 exons.